Molecule: ribosomal RNA, 490 nt
Filed under: uncultured bacterium
Lineage: Bacteria
Description: partial 16S ribosomal RNA
Rfam family: Bacterial small subunit ribosomal RNA
Source: RNAcentral
AUUGAACGCUGGCGGCAGGCCUAACACAUGCAAGUCGAACGGUAACAGGAAGAAGCUUGCUUCUUUGCUGACGAGUGGCGGACGGGUGAGAAAUGUCUGGGAAACUGCCUGAUGGAGGGGGAUAACUACUGGAAACGGUAGCUAAUACCGCAUAACGUCGCAAGACCAAAGAGGGGGACCUUCGGGCCUCUUGCCAUCGGAUGUGCCCAGAUGGGAUUAGCUAGUAGGUGGGGUAACGGCUCACCUAGGCGACGAUCCCUAGCUGGUCUGAGAGGGUGACCAGCCACACUGGAACUGAGACACGGUCCAGACUCCUACGGGAGGCAGCAGUGGGGAAUAUUGCACAAUGGGCGCAAGCCUGAUGCAGCCAUGCCGCGUGUAUGAUGAAGGCCUUCGGGUUGUAAAGUACUGUCAGCGGGGAGGAAGGGAGUAAAGUUAAUACCUGUGCUCAUUGACGUUACCCGCAGAAGAAGCACCGGCUAACUCCGUG